This 88-nucleotide transfer RNA is filed under the name Rhodocyclaceae bacterium. RNAcentral's name for it is "tRNA-Ser". The record is from RNAcentral. Lineage: Bacteria; Pseudomonadati; Pseudomonadota; Betaproteobacteria; Rhodocyclales; Rhodocyclaceae.
GGAGAGAUGGCCGAGGUCGAGGCGCUCCCCUGCUAAGGGGAGCAUACGGGCAAACCGGUAUCGAGGGUUCAGAAUCCCUCGUCCGCCA